RNAcentral lists this long non-coding RNA (338 nucleotides) under Coffea arabica (coffee). RNAcentral's name for it is "long non-coding RNA (CARA_LNC005439)". The record is from RNAcentral. Lineage: Eukaryota; Viridiplantae; Streptophyta; Magnoliopsida; Gentianales; Rubiaceae.
GCUGACUGCUAAACAACUAAAUGCCAAGGCAGCAAAAGAAAUUCUGAGAAUCAAGAAUUUGAAGAAUGAUGAGUGGACAUUAGAUUUGCAUGGUCUUCAUGCUGCAGAAGCAGUCCAAGCCUUGCAAGAACAUUUGCAGAGGAUUGAAUCUCAGAUGCCUACAAAACAGCUUGCUUGUGCUAGAAGAUUCAAUGCAAUUCAAUCUCAGAUGCCUUGUGCUAGAAUAGUCCAUCUAUCUCAGAUGCCUAUUGCUUGUGCUAGAAUAGUCCAUUUAUCUCAGAUGCCUGCUAGAAGAUUCAAUGUAAUGGCAGGAAUUGUAUCUUCCACAGCUCCUAAUG